AGCUUCGUUCAGGCCCGGCCGGGACUUGAUCAUCCUGGAAAUUAUAUCGCUGGCUCGUCCCACUUGGGGGAAAGCCAAUUACCUGGACUGGGAGCCAUUGGCAUCUCGUCCGGCCUCCCGCAGCCAGACAGGAACCCUGAGCUUCUGCUUCCAGCCUGGCCUGGCCUGUCCUAGAGAGUCCGCCUGGGUGAGGGGAGAGCCAGCCUGCGAGGGGCCCCUCCCACCUGGCCUUUCCUGUGGGGCUGCAGUGGAACCUUCUCAUUUGCCUGAAAUGGAAAAAAGUCAAGCCCCGCAGCAGAAAAUGUCCGGGUUGCUGGAGGCGAAGGCUUCUGAAACACCGAACCAGCAAAAAGUGCCCGAGAGCCUCGGAGGGCCCGGGGGGCAAGGCCAGCGAGCCUGGUUUACAGAGAAGGAAAAAGAGGUUCCAAAGGGUGCCCCGAAGCCGGGAGGUCUGGGCUCAUCUCUGCCCCAGCGCGUCCCACAGCCUGGCCCCAGUUCUCAUCCCAAGGUCCCGAGUCCUGGACGGGGGCUCCCUGGGCCCUGAGCUCGGGGUGGGGGAGCCCAGCUCCUGGAUUUCUGCACGGUGGGCUGGG
Molecule: long non-coding RNA, 593 nt
Filed under: Sus scrofa (pig)
Lineage: Eukaryota; Metazoa; Chordata; Mammalia; Artiodactyla; Suidae
Description: lncRNA (ENSSSCG00035011578.1, ENSSSCG00055026834.1, ENSSSCG00065061044.1)
Source: RNAcentral